CAAGCUUCUCGGCCUUUUGGCUAAGAUCAAGUGUAGUAUCUGUUCAGUAUCUGUUCUUAUCAGUUUAAUAUCUGAUACGUCCUCGAUAUGAGGACUACAUAUUAGUCCACGCAUUACUCCACGCAACGACAUGGUAUUGCAGUACCUCCGGGCAUGGUGCACCUCCU
Pygocentrus nattereri (red-bellied piranha) is the source of this 167-nucleotide small nuclear RNA. Its record names the gene U2. It matches the Rfam family "U2 spliceosomal RNA". From Rfam's summary of the family: U2 is a small nuclear RNA (snRNA) component of the spliceosome (involved in pre-mRNA splicing). Complementary binding between U2 snRNA (in an area lying towards the 5' end but 3' to hairpin I) and the branchpoint sequence (BPS) of the intron results the bulging out of an unpaired adenosine, on the BPS, which initiates a nucleophilic attack at the intronic 5' splice site, thus starting the first of two transesterification reactions that mediate splicing. Lineage: Eukaryota; Metazoa; Chordata; Actinopteri; Characiformes; Serrasalmidae. The record is from Ensembl.